This 449-nucleotide unclassified non-coding RNA is filed under the name Hevea brasiliensis (rubber tree). The record is from RNAcentral. Lineage: Eukaryota; Viridiplantae; Streptophyta; Magnoliopsida; Malpighiales; Euphorbiaceae.
AAAAAAAAAAAAAAAAAAAGAUCCAAGAUUUUGUUCUUUGUCCUUUAUCGAGUUUUUUACAUGCAAAACCGAGCAUGACACGUUUAACAAAAUGCUUAAUUUGAUUCAUGGACGAACUUAACAUCUGCUAGAUGUAGAUUUUUAUUAAUGCACUUGGUUAAGUGAAGAUUUUUGUUAAAUAUAUAACACAUGGCAUUAGUUUUAUUUUUCUUUCCUCCUUUUCAAGAGCAGGUACUUGAAAAUUGAUUUCAUUUCUUUUUUUUGCAAAAAGUGUCAUAGAUGGACAUCAUUUUUUCCUUAAAUUAUUGUAUUUUUCCUUUCCCUUUUAUGGCAAGGGGGAAGGUCUUCUUUCUUUUAAAUCUAGAGCCCUUUCAUGAUCUGUAUGUGGACUAAAGGGUAAGUAACAGUGCUAUAUCCUAUUUCUGUUUUAUGCCUUUGAUAAUUUGGCG